UUGAGUCUCCUGAAGGAACGUUGAAGACGACGACGUUGAUAGGUCGGGUGUGUAAGCGCAGCGAUGCGUUGAGCUAACCGAUACUAAUGAACCGUGAGGCUUAACCUU
Molecule: ribosomal RNA, 108 nt
Filed under: Enterobacter hormaechei
Lineage: Bacteria; Pseudomonadati; Pseudomonadota; Gammaproteobacteria; Enterobacterales; Enterobacteriaceae
Also listed under: 4 other names
Description: partial 23S ribosomal RNA
Rfam family: Bacterial large subunit ribosomal RNA
Source: RNAcentral